This 620-nucleotide long non-coding RNA is filed under the name Marmota monax (woodchuck). Lineage: Eukaryota; Metazoa; Chordata; Mammalia; Rodentia; Sciuridae. The record is from RNAcentral.
UUCAUUGAUUGCCUCUUUGUUAACCCCUUUCCAGAAUGAAUGGCGGUAUGAGUCUCUACUCCCUUCAGAGAUUGAAACACCCCCAAUCCAACCCACAGAGGUUGGUCCACCAGGUCAUGGGGAUAAAUAAUUCAGUCUUACUGGUCUUGGGGAACAUCUCCUAAAGUCUAAGUUGUUGCUGCUUCAAGUACAACAUGGAUCUUGACCUCCAUAUCUUCAAAGUCACAAGAGAAGAUCAGGCCUCUUCAACCAAACUGCAUAUUUUGCAAAGAAUUGUUGCCUGAACAUCACAUCUCUUUAUGAUCAAGUAAUGAUUUGAAUGUAUAAGGCCAUGUAAGUCCAGGCUUGGCAAAGAAACAUUGUCUAAAGAAAGCAGUUUUGGGGGUUAUCAAAUACAGCUGUUUGACAUUUAUUAAACAAAACAUCUUUGUCAGACUCUUACGCUUGUAGGUUGCUUCAAUACAUUUAUGUAUUGAUUCUUGUUUUACAUUGUAUGACUUGAAGGAACCACACAUAAACCAGGAAAAGUUUUUCCAAACAUAAAGCAAGAUACCACAUGCAAAUUUUCAAACAGUAGUUUUAAAAAUAAGUCUUCAGGUCAAAUUUCCACUUGUUAUAUG